Long non-coding RNA from Gopherus flavomarginatus (Mexican gopher tortoise), 2537 nucleotides. RefSeq lists it as uncharacterized. The transcript has 2 exons. The record is from RefSeq and is a predicted model, not a curated record. NCBI's taxonomy places the organism in Eukaryota, Metazoa, Chordata, Testudines, Testudinidae.
CGGUGGGUUUUGAAAACAAAGUUCUAACGGCUACCGGGAAGGGGAAGGAGAAGCGCACGCGCAGAAGAGUCAGAAAAACGCAGCUUUGUCGGCGAUUCGGGCGGGGGGAGCUCCCAGUGAGCCUGUCGUUCUGUUCCCUUUGAGAGCAGUGUCGCCCCCGCCCCCCAAGGCAGGGAAGCCCCCCUCAGGGCGGAGCGUAUGCUGUUGCGGAGCGGCGCAAUGCCUCCCUGCGUGACGGUGGCCGGGCAGCCUCGCUCUGUGCACGGGGGUAGGAGAGCGCUCGGCGUGGAGAGAACAGGCUUUCGGAGAGCCCGUUGCAGGCGAGCUUGCAGUGAGCUCCCUGGGCCCGGGUGAUUGGCAGAGCUGCAGCCAGCUCUGGGUAGCAGAGUCUGUGCCUAGCGCUCCUCCUGCAGCUGUCGGGAUUUACACACCAGACCGCCUUCCCGCUUCCUAGCACCCGAGACUGCACACCCACGAAACUCCUAUCCCCUGUGGGGAGUGAGUAGGUGACGGCCUGACGCGACACGCUUUACACAGAAGUAAACAAGGCAAAGCCACAGAGAGAGGGAGUCAUUGAUUCAAAACGAGGACUCUGGACAGCCUUCCUGCUUCUCAUGCUGGUGAUCAGACUACUCGGUUUCUCUUUUUAUACUCCAUCCAGAGCAGAGUUCUUAUGGUCAUGCCAUGUGAUAGGUUCACCGCGCAUAUGUUGCAAUGAAGUCCAUUUUUGUACCUUGGAAAAUUGAAGGAUUGAGUUCUCUCAUUUUUUAAAAAAAUUCCCUCCUAGAUGUCUAACGUUUCAGCAGCAGUCAGGUUAAUACAGUUUAAGAGAAUUUAGUGGUGUGGUCUGAAACUUUAUUUUAUUCACAUAAAUCCUAAUAAGAAAGAAAAUUCAGUUUAUUGUCCAAAUCAACGAUUUAGUUUCUGUAGGGAUUUAUGCAGUAGAGUUUCUGCUGGGAAGAAAAAUCACUUUCAGGGCUGGUCUACACUGGGGCCUUGGCUACACUGGAGAGUUGCAGCGCUGGUGGCGGCUUUAAAGCGCUGCAACUCACUCACCGUCCACACUUGCAAGGCAGAUACAGCGCUGUAUCUCCCUGGCUACAACGCUAGCUGUACUCACCUCGGCCUGGGGAAUAACGACUGCAGCGCUGGUGAUGCAGCGCUGCUCUGCCAGUGUGGCCACCAAAAGCGCUGUUAUUGGCCUCCAGAGGUAUUCGGAGAUCUCCUAGAAUGCCUGUUCAGCCACUCUGCUCAUCAGUUCGAGCUCUACUGCCCUGGCCUCAGGUGACCCUCCCAUUAAAUGCCUCAGGAAAUUUUAAAAAUCCCCUUCCUGUUUGCUCAGCCAGGUGUGGAGAGCAAUCAGUGAAUCUUUCCAGGUGACCAUGCCUCCAUGUGCCAAACGAGCCCCAACAUGGAGCAAUGGCAAGUUGCUGGACCUCAUCAGUGUUCGGGGGGAGAAAGCUGUGCAGUCCCAGCUGUGCUCCAGCCGUAGGAAUUAUGAUACCUAUAGGCAGAUAUCAAGGGCCAUGCUGGAAAGAGGCCAUGACAGGGACGCGCUGCAGUGCAGGGUUAAAGUAAAGGAGCUGUGGAGUGCCUAUUGCACAGCCUGUGAGGGAAACCGCCGCUCCGCCACUGCUCCCACGACCUGCCAUUUUUACAAAGAGCUGGACGCGAUACUUGGGGGUGACCCCACCGCCAAUCCGAGAACCACGAUGGACACUUCAGAGUAGGGGGAAGGAGAAGAGGAGGGGAGGAGGAGGAAACUGAGAGUGAGGGUACUGGAGUAGGGGGAGACACCCCGGAGUCCCAGGAGGCAUGCAGCCAGGAGCUCUUCUCAAGCCAAGAGGAAGGCAGCCAGUCGCAGCAGCCGGUACUUGGUGAAGGACAAGCAGAAGAGCGGGUUACUGCAACCUUGAGUUCUCAGCUGCCCGUGUUAUCAACCGCUCAAAGACUCUAAAACCUCCGGAAGAAGCCGCGAGAAAGCAAAGACGACUUGCUGCAAGCAGUUAUGGAUCACUCUGCCAGAGAGAAUCAAAAAGUGCACGACUGGAGGGAAAGGGAAAGCAGGAUCUGCCAUAGAACUGCAGCGGCCCGGAAAAAAAGCACAAAGCAGCUGAUAAGCAUCCUGGCGCGCCAAGCGGACUCUAUCCAGGCGCUCAUAGCCAUGCAGGCAGAGCACUACUACUCCAGCCCCACCCCCGUCCCAAAGCUCCUUCCCUUGUGCCCCAAUGUCAGCUCAAAACCCCGUUCCCCACCAUCCAGGUUCUUACCACCACCAGCUUCCUCCAGCACCUGUACGUUCACCAACUAGCCCUGAGAACUACGACCCUUACCCUCUGCACUCAACCCCCAUCACCAUGCAGUAUAGGCAUCCUGAAGUGCAGCAGUCAUUGCACAGCACUCCAGACAGGAUAUAUUCAAACCUGUGAGUGUACAGUUCCCCACCGCACCCCCCUGCCCUUUUAGGUUGCCAAAAUGUUGUGUGUGUGUCAAUAAAGUUAAUUUCUUUUCAAUAAAUGAAUUCUUCGCUUUGAAAA